AACGAACGCUGGCGGCAUGCCUAACACAUGCAAGUCGAACGAGACCUUCGGGUCUAGUGGCGCACGGGUGCGUAACGCGUGGGAACCUGCCCUUAGGUUCGGAAUAACUCCCCGAAAGGGGUGCUAAUACCAGAUAAUGUCUUCGGACCAAAGAUUUAUCGCCUUUGGAUGGGCCCGCGUUGGAUUAGCUAGUUGGUAGGGUAAAAGCCUACCAAGGCGACGAUCCAUAGCUGGUCUGAGAGGAUGAUCAGCCACACUGGGACUGAGACACGGCCCAGACUCCUACGGGAGGCAGCAGUGGGGAAUAUUGGACAAUGGGCGAAAGCCUGAUCCAGCAAUGCCGCGUGAGUGAUGAAGGCCUUAGGGUUGUAAAGCUCUUUUACCCGGAAUGAUAAUGACAGUACCGGGAGAAUAAGCUCCGGCUAACUCCGUG
This 433-nucleotide ribosomal RNA is filed under the name uncultured bacterium. RNAcentral's name for it is "partial 16S ribosomal RNA". It matches the Rfam family "Bacterial small subunit ribosomal RNA", at positions 29 to 507 of the family's 1533-position model. The record is from RNAcentral.